Molecule: long non-coding RNA, 381 nt
Organism: Tarenaya hassleriana
Lineage: Eukaryota; Viridiplantae; Streptophyta; Magnoliopsida; Brassicales; Cleomaceae
Exons: 3
Source: RefSeq, a predicted model, not a curated record
UUUCAACAACAACAAUAAAAGUGACAAAAGCUUAAAAGUGUUUAAAUUGAUCAUGAAGGUUGUGUUUUUUCUGUACUUGCUCUUCCUUCCGCUGUGUUAUUGUGGUUCCGAUGAGGCCUCAUAUGUUGAUCUCUCCAACAUCAAGAUUGACGAUGGUGUGGGAAUAACGGACUACGAGGGGACAGGAUCCAGCUGUCAACAUGACCCGAGCUGCCGACGUGGCCAUAAUCCGCGACGUGGCCAUAAGCCGCCACACUCUGGGACCCACGCACCCGCCUUUAUUAAGACAUGAAAAACAUAUAAUUUUCCAUUUGAAUUUGCUGAUGUAAGUUUCAUGAUAAGAAUAAAUAAUUAAAGAGGUAUGAACAAAUAAAAUUUUAA